This 1031-nucleotide non-coding RNA is filed under the name Lachnoclostridium sp. An169. RNAcentral's name for it is "Bacterial large subunit ribosomal RNA". It matches the Rfam family "Bacterial large subunit ribosomal RNA", at positions 1896 to 2925 of the family's 2925-position model. Lineage: Bacteria; Bacillati; Bacillota; Clostridia; Lachnospirales; Lachnospiraceae. The record is from Rfam by way of RNAcentral.
AACGCGAAGCUUUGAACUUAAGCCCCAGUAAACGGCGGCCGUAACUAUAACGGUCCUAAGGUAGCGAAAUUCCUUGUCGGGUAAGUUCCGACCCGCACGAAAGGCGUAAUGAUUUGGGCACUGUCUCAACAAUGCACCCGGUGAAAUUGAAAUACCAGUGAAGAUGCUGGUUACCUGCGCCAGGACGGAAAGACCCCAUGGAGCUUUACUCCAGCUUGAUACUGGGAUUCGGUAUUGCAUGUACAGGAUAGGUGGGAGGCUGAGAAAUGGUGACGCCAGUUGCCAUGGAGCCGCUGUUGGGAUACCACCCUUGCAGUACUGGGUUUCUAACCAGCAGCCGUGAACCGGCUGGGGGACAAUGUCAGGCGGGGAGUUUGACUGGGGCGGUCGCCUCCGAAAGGGUAUCGGAGGCGCUCAAAGGUUCCCUCAGAAUGGUCGGAAACCAUUCGGAGAGUGCAAAGGCAGAAGGGAGCUUGACUGCGACACCGACGGGUGGAGCAGGUACGAAAGUAGGACUUAGUGAUCCGGUGGUAUAAAGUGGGAUUGCCAUCGCUCAACGGAUAAAAGCUACCCUGGGGAUAACAGGCUUAUCACUCCCAAGAGUUCACAUCGACGGAGUGGUUUGGCACCUCGAUGUCGGCUCAUCGCAUCCUGGGGCUGGAGUAGGUCCCAAGGGUUGGGCUGUUCGCCCAUUAAAGCGGUACGCGAGCUGGGUUCAGAACGUCGUGAGACAGUUCGGUCCCUAUCCGGCGCGGGCGUAGGAUAUUUGAGAGGAGCUGUCCUUAGUACGAGAGGACCGGGAUGGACUGGCCGCUGGUGUACCUGUUGGGAUACCAAUUCCAUAGCAGGGUAGCCAAGCCGGGAAGGGAUAAACGCUGAAGGCAUCUAAGCGUGAAGCCCCCCUCAAGAUGAGAUAUCCCAUGACGUCAAGUCAGUAAGACCCCUUGAAGACGACGAGGUAGAUAGGGCAGAGGUGGAAGUGCCGUAAGGCAUGGAGCUGACUGUUACUAAUAGGUCGAGGGCAUGACCAG